GACGAACGCUGGCGGCGUGCCUAAUACAUGCAAGUCGAGCGGACUAGCGUUUUCUUCGGAAAACGCCGGUUAGCGGCGGACGGGUGAGUAACACGUGGGUAACCUGCCUGUAAGACCGGGAUAACAUUCGGAAACGAAUGCUAAUACCGGAUACGCGAUAUGGUCGCAUGACCGAACCGGGAAAGAUGGAGCAAUCUAUCACUUACAGAUGGACCCGCGGCGCAUUAGCUAGUUGGUGAGGUAACGGCUCACCAAGGCGACGAUGCGUAGCCGACCUGAGAGGGUGAUCGGCCACACUGGGACUGAGACACGGCCCAGACUCCUACGGGAGGCAGCAGUAGGGAAUCUUCCGCAAUGGACGAAAGUCUGACGGAGCAACGCCGCGUGAGUGAUGAAGGUUUUCGGAUCGUAAAGCUCUGUUGCCAGGGAAGAAUGCUUGGGAGAGUAACUGCUCCCAAGGUGACGGUACCUGAGAAGAAAGCCCCGGCUAACUACGUGCCAGCAGCCGCGGUAACAC
RNAcentral lists this ribosomal RNA (517 nucleotides) under uncultured bacterium. RNAcentral describes it as "bacterial SSU rRNA". It matches the Rfam family "Bacterial small subunit ribosomal RNA", at positions 28 to 526 of the family's 1533-position model. The record is from RNAcentral.